UAAUUUCAUAUUGUUUAACAUCAGAGUCGAACUUAGUAAACAAUACCUAGCUUUGUUAAAUAUCUAACUCUUAAGCAAACCAUAAAGUCCAGAUAAAAUUUGUGAUGUUGAAACAAAUUAAAUUACAAAAAAAUUGGGGGAUAUAAAUUGAAUAAAAUAUAUGCGGGGCACCGGUGAUCGGUGAAGGAUAAGGUCCUAUCCUUAAAACUUGGUUCCAGUGGUAGUGCCUGUCUUUAUUUUAUCUGCUUCCCUGCAUUUCAAUGGUUUUGCCAGUGAAUAAGGAUAACAAUAAUGAACAUAACGAUUUUACUCAUCAUGUUUUUUCACCUUUUCAUUUUCAUUUUUAAAUCUAAGUAAAUCCCUUUUUUUUCUUGAAAAAAUAUUAUUUUUCAAUGUGUCAAAUAAUAGUCUGGAAACAUUGAACAGAAAUGUAGACAUUACUUCAGGUAAAUGUUUGGACAGUAUAAUAAAAAAGAUUUACGAGACAUGGGUGAGGUAGUUUCCAGUCCCACAAUAUUUCAAAAUUUUUUAUUAUAUGCGUAUUUGCCCGUUUAACAUUUUUUUUCCCCUCCAUGAAAAUUUUGACUCGGUCACUAGCUGUGCAAAGAACAAUCAUAUAAGACUCGUACAUAGGAAGAAAAUACCACAAAUAAAUUUGUUUUCAAUUUUGGGCAAGAUCAAGAGUUUCACCUUCCAUUGAUGACGAUGGAUCUACAUGAAUUGUUAGACUCCAUUGAUGUUGUUAAUCCAUGCAAAUUGUCAAGUAAAACACUCUCAUUUAUGAAUUUGGACUCAAUGGGAAAAGUUUCGUCGAGAUUUUCCAUGCAUUUAGUAAAGGGAAUUUUUAUUUCCACAAAAAAAUUCUAACAAUUU
Molecule: long non-coding RNA, 873 nt
Filed under: Olea europaea (common olive)
Lineage: Eukaryota; Viridiplantae; Streptophyta; Magnoliopsida; Lamiales; Oleaceae
Description: long non-coding RNA (OEUR_LNC015485)
Source: RNAcentral